RNAcentral lists this ribosomal RNA (385 nucleotides) under uncultured bacterium. RNAcentral's name for it is "bacterial SSU rRNA". It matches the Rfam family "Bacterial small subunit ribosomal RNA", at positions 28 to 402 of the family's 1533-position model. The record is from RNAcentral.
GACGAACGCUGGCGGCGUGCUUAACACAUGCAAGUCGAGCGGGAUCCAACCGGUGGCAACACCGGGGAAGAUCUAGCGGCGAACGGGUGAGUAACACGUGAGCAACCUGCCCCGAAGACUGGGAGUAACACCGGGAAACCCGGUAGCUAAUACCGGAUGUCGUCAUUAGGCCGCUAUGACCUGAUGAUGAAAGGAUUCAUCGCUUCGGGAGGGGCUCGCGGGCUAUCAGCNGUUGGUGGGUAACGGCCUACCAAGGCGACGACGGCUAGCUGGUCUGAGAGGACGACCAGCCACACUGGGACUGAGACACGGCCCAGACUCCUACGGGAGGCAGCAGUGGGGAACCUUGCGCAAUGGGCGAAAGCCUGACGCAGCAACGCCGCGU